Triticum urartu is the source of this 2625-nucleotide non-coding RNA. The record is from RefSeq and is a predicted model, not a curated record. Lineage: Eukaryota; Viridiplantae; Streptophyta; Magnoliopsida; Poales; Poaceae.
CCUGAGCUUCCGUUCUUGCCAUUUUUAGGUUCAUAUACACAUCAUACUGAUUGAUUCAUUCACUAGGUUACGAUGUCUAGGUUACAUACGUACAUUACUUAUUCUUGAGCAGAAUAUUAUUCUUUUUUAGCAGAGGAGAAUAGUGCUUACUGUAAAUUAGUUGGGUAUAUACCAACAACCAAAAAGCUCAAAACAUUUUGUGAGAAAUAGAAUAAAUCAAGCCUUGCUCGAAUUAGACAAGAAACAUAUUGAUUAAUCAUUCCUUAAAAUAGCUUGACUUUGUCAUAAGGACUAUAAAAGAAGCCGCAUUAUGACAUGUCUAAGCUACAACAAAUAAUAUAUAUUCUUAUUUGGUCUAAAAUACAGCAACUAAUAUAAGACGUUUUAGAUUCGGUGAUCUAAAACGUCUUAUAUUAGUUACAGAGAGAGUAUUAUCCUUUGUGCUGAUUAAUUUAUAUGUACUAACUUAUAUUUAUGUGUUUUUAGAGUGGACGGUCAGCUGUGAUAGUUCAAACUGUUGUGAGAUGUAUUUUGAUAUCAUCCUCCUAACAAGAGACAAAUUAGUGGAUUAUUUUGCUAGAUAGUGUUGAUGUCUCCUUAAAACCGAGGCUUCUUUCUCAUCGGAUAUAGAACUGUGAAUUUGUAAAUUAUAUUUAUUCUAUCUUUUCAAACAGAAUGAAAAGCCAUCUUCUAUUUUCUUCCAUCCAACUUUUCUUCAGCUUGAAAUGUGCAAAACAUUUGUCACAGGGAUAUUGUACUUUGAUCAAUGGAUGUGAUAAAAAACACCAUGACAUAGACAUGGAAGGGGGGACCUGAAUGCACGAAACAAAUAAUGAAAAGCCUUGUGAAGUGGCAGAAAACUAUAUGUCUUAUGUACCUUUUAGUUUCCCUUCAAGUGGGAUGCCAAGCCUCAUGAAGUGGUAAAAAACUGAGCAAUAUUAAGCUCAGUUUGUUGGAAUUGAUCCUAAUCAUUUCAUAUUUGGCUCAAAUUUUGCUAUACGAAAAACUUUCUCAAUGCAUGCUUACAGAUGCUAAUUGCAUACAAGUAUGCACAAGAUAUGUACAGGAGUUUCUAUCACUAAUUUUUAUAGUAUUGAGUUGAUUUAAUGGUAACUACCACUGGGUGGUAGGAUGGAUUUUUCCUAUACACACACACAUAUGAGUUUCUGGCUAAUUGUCUUUGAGGGGCUAAAUUGGAUUCCUUGAUGGAAAAUAAACAAUCAACUGAAAGUUUCUAAUUUAUCUUUCUCCCUUUCUUGGCUGUAGUAGACUUUUCUCUAUGUUAAUGUUCCUCAUAAUUCUAGACCAAGUCUUUCUUCGAUCUGAAUGACAUGGAAAAUGUUGUUUCAUUUCACAUAUUCAUUUUAUUAUAUUGUUUAAAUUUUUUCUAUGCAAGCCAGUAAAACUUGUUUUUUGUUUAUUAAGCCAAACUUCCAUCUUGUACUGGGAAGCCAUAACGUCAUAGUAGAAGACAAAUGUGUGUGAGCAUGUGAAAAUGACUGCAUAGGACAUGCUGAGGUGCUCAAGCUACCUCCUCUUGUACUGGGAAGCCAUAACGUCAUAGUCCUGAGUGGCUGAGCUGUGAUUGGUUAGGAGAGAGUGAAAUAUAACCUAGAUGGUGAAAUUUGUGUGUCAAUGUAGCUUUUCAGUUGUUCAUGUGUCCCAUUUAUGAUCAGGGAUGCUUGAGUCAUGUGGGAUAAUAAAAUUGGACACUCCAGAGGUUAUGGCUUUGUCUUAUUCUGUAAUCAGUAGGCAUGCACAACUCAGACCAUUUCUCUUUUGCAUUUUGCAGUAGUUUUACUAUUUUAAUGGCAUGAAUCAAAUACCAACUUUACUUUCUACCUAAUAUUCUGGUGUUUGAGUGAUACCGAUAGCUUUUGCAAUGCCUAAAUUUAGCUCGGUGAAUUGUACUCUUAGUGUGUUACCAAUUUGUGGAUGUAUAGCUAUGAAUAGUACUGAUACAUACAAUUUCGCCUCUUCUCUGUAGACUUUGAAGGAUGAAGAAUAAAGAACACUCUAUGAUCAGGGAUUGCCAAAGAGUGGCAUUUAAAAGGCAGCUGACAUUUGAUGAAUUGCUGAAUGGUGGUGGUCGCACACCAUGGGGGACAGUGUUCCAAGAGAGGUCUCGAAGAUGGUUAGAGAUUAGGCAAUCCAACGUCAAACAUGAUUGUGCUGAUGUCUGGGUUUUGGCUUGGUGGUGAGGUGCUUGAGGUCGUGGCUCUGUGUCAGGAACCUCCUCUUGAGCGGGCUUGUACUUCAUGGUGGUGAGGUCUAUCUUGAUGGUAGACCAGUUGGUUGAUUAAAUGCCAAUAGGAGCAGCUGAGUGGACCACUGAUGUAGUCUCACUGUGCAUCAGUAUUGUUGACCUCAGCUCGCCUAUACAUAUGAUCCAUGUAUCGUAUUCAGCUUCUCUCUAAGACUUGGUAUGCCUGUGUUCUGAUGAUCCGAGGAACUCUGCCUCUCUUUUGGAGAUCAUCCACCUUUUGAAGACUGUUAAACCUUGAUUUGGAAAUCUGGAUGUGUCUAUGACGAGUCAUCCACCUUGUAAGAUUGUCAUCUAUUUGUUACCUAUUAGCAUCGAUCAAACUAUUUAUCUUGCUCUGCUUUAUGAAUAAACACUCUUCU